CCGGGAGGGCCUUUUGACACUUCCCUGCUGAUUCACUACCAGGAUCACGUCGCUCGGCGGAUCUGGGAGGGAGAGGAGAGAGAGCCAUUGAAAAUGGUGAACCACUCCAGGAAGAUUUUCGGUCUGUUUAAACCAGCAGCUCAGUGGUUUAACGACCAUGUGCGAGGUUCAGGGCUUUGCGGGCUCUGCAUGACCGGGUACACCACCAUCAGCACCGGCAUGCAGGGGGCAUUUGUGGAGCGCUGGCACAAGGAGACGUCUUCUUUCCACUUGUCGGUGGGGGAGUUGACGAUCACCUUGCAUGACGUCCAGUGUCUUCUCCACCUGCCUAUUAGGGGGCCGCUGUUGGACCACUCCAGGAUCCAGAGGGUCGAGGCCAUUGAGUGGAUGAUGCACUAUUUGGGCCUGCCGCACGAGGUUGCUCACCUGGAGUGCGUCUCGACUUCUGGGCCUCAUGUCCGGUUCAACACACUGAGCCUCUAUUUUGAGUUCCACCUGGACGCGGCGGUCGAGGCCGAGCAGGAGGGUAACGACCUAUUCAGGGAGUACCACCGCGGCUGCGCUCUUCGGUGCUGGUACAUGCAUGUGGUAGGCGCUGCAUGCUUUGUGGACAAGAGCGCCAGGUAAGUCGACGUGGCCUACCUCCGCUAUUUCAUGGACCUGGAUACCGUUCACCAGUGGAACUGGGGGGCAGCUACUCUGGCAUAUCUCUACCAGAAGCUGAAUGAGGCCUCCAACUGGAGGACGAGGCAGCUGGUCGGAUCCUGCACUCUGCUUACGAGCUGGAUCAUCUCCUACUUCUCCCGCAUCCACGACUUCCACAUCGAUCCUGCGUACGUUGACGCCAUGCCCAGGGCCGCCAGAUACGCCCUCCAGAGGGGG
Vicia villosa (hairy vetch) is the source of this 882-nucleotide long non-coding RNA. RefSeq lists it as uncharacterized. The record is from RefSeq and is a predicted model, not a curated record. NCBI's taxonomy places the organism in Eukaryota, Viridiplantae, Streptophyta, Magnoliopsida, Fabales, Fabaceae. The transcript is spliced from 3 exons.